CAAUAGCGUAUAUUAAAGUUGUUGCAGUUAAAAAGCUCGUGGUUGGAUUUCGGGGCAGCCUGGCUGGUCCGCCGCAAGGCGAGUACUGGUCAGCCGCCCUUCCUCUCGAAAGCCCCGACUGCUCUUCGUUGCAGUGGUCGGGUAGUUCGGGACGUUUACUUUGAAAAAAUUAGAGUGUUCAAGGCAGGCCUACGCCUGAAUACAUUAGCAUGGAAUAAUGGAAGAGGACCUCGGUCCUAUUUUGUUGGUUUCCAGGGCCGAAGUAAUGAUUAAGAGGGACAGUUGGGGGCAUUCGUAUUUAAUUGUCAGAGGUGAAAUUCUCGGAUUUAUGAAAGACGAACAACUGCGAAAGCAUUUGCCAAGGAUGUUUUCAUUAA
This 377-nucleotide ribosomal RNA is filed under the name uncultured eukaryote. RNAcentral describes it as "partial 18S ribosomal RNA". It matches the Rfam family "Eukaryotic small subunit ribosomal RNA", at positions 592 to 976 of the family's 1831-position model. The record is from RNAcentral.